AGUCGAACGANACGGNUCUAGCUUGCUAGACUNUCAGCUAAGUGCCGACCGGGUGAGUUAAUGUAUAGUUUAUUUGCCCCUUUAGGAGAGGGAUACCAGUGGAAACGACUGCUAAUACCUCAUACCCNUUCUACUUAAUGGUAGUGGGAAAUGUUUUUCGCUUAAGGGAAUGAGACCUAUAUGGUAUCAGGUAGUUGGGUGGGGUAAGACCCUACCCAAGCCCUUAUGACCGCCCUAGCUGGUUCUGAGAAGGAUUGAUCCAGCCCACCCCUGGAACUGAGACCACGUUCCAGACCUCUUACGGGAGGCAGCAGUGGGGAAUAUUGCCACAAUGGGAGGAAACUCCUGAUGCAGCAACGCCCGCGUGGAGGAUGACCGCAUUUCGGUGUGUAAACUCCUUUUAUAUGGGAAGAUAAUGACGGUACCCAUAUGAAUAAGCACCGGCUAACUCCGUGCCAGCAGCCGCGGUAAUACGGAGGGUGCAAGCGUUACUCGGAAUCACUGGGCGUAAAGCGCGCGCAGGCGGCUAUUUAAGUUGGAUGUGAAAGCCUACGGCUCAACCGUAGAACUGCAUCCAAAACUAUUUAGCUAGAGUGUGGGAGAGGAAGAUGGAAUUAGUUGUGUAGGGGUAAAAUCCGUAGAGAU
This 645-nucleotide ribosomal RNA is filed under the name uncultured bacterium. RNAcentral describes it as "bacterial SSU rRNA". It matches the Rfam family "Bacterial small subunit ribosomal RNA", at positions 60 to 697 of the family's 1533-position model. The record is from RNAcentral.